This 48-nucleotide small nucleolar RNA is filed under the name Mola mola (ocean sunfish). Its description in RNAcentral is "Small nucleolar RNA SNORD73 (ENSMMOG00000005398.1)". The record is from RNAcentral. Lineage: Eukaryota; Metazoa; Chordata; Actinopteri; Tetraodontiformes; Molidae.
AACACAUGAUGACAAACAGUUUCGGUCCCAGAUGAUCACCUGAUUAUU